UGGUGAGUUGGUUGGGAUGUUGAUGCGGAUAUGUAAGGACCGUUGGACACCAUCUAUUUCCCCAUUGGUAUGAUAUUGUCCGCUUUGGGCCUAAGCCAUCACGAAUUUGUUUUUGGGCACCUUCCCAAAAGGCCUCAUUCCAAUGGAGAUGGUGUCCAACUUUAUAUACCCAAGAUCCUUCCCAUUUCUAGCCAAUGUGGGACUUUGGUUGUACACCCAACAAUCCUCCCCUCAAACAAAGGACCACCUUGCCUCCCCUCAGACGAUUACAGAUCUAAACCUGAAUCCCUCGAUUCCAACACUCAAGAUCCCCUUGAGUAAGCUAGAUGAAUACCUUCACCAGCUAGAUUCGAAAUCCCUUCGAAUACCUGAAUCGCUCGAUUCCAACACUCAAGAUCCCCUUGAGUAAGCUAGAUGAAUCCCUUCACCAGCUAGAUUCGAAAUCCCUUCGAAUCAGAUCUGAACCUCUGAUGGCUCUAGCAGCAAGCUUCACCUCCUUUGUUUGGCAAUCCGAUGAUACAUUCACAUGGCUAAUUUUGGGAUCCGGCUCUGAUACCACUUGUAAGGACCGUCGGACACCAUCUAUUUCCCCAUUGGUAUGAUAUUGUCCGCUUUAGGCCUAAGCCCUCACGAAUUUGUUUUUGGGCACCUUCCCAAAAGGCCUCAUUCCAAUGGAAAUGGUGUCCAACUUUAUAUACCCAAGAUCCUUCCCAUUUCUAGCCAAUGUGGGACUUUGGUUGUACACCCAACAGGAUGAUUGUACUUGGGCUUUUUUUUUUUUUUUUAUCUCCUUGCAAUAGUAUGUUGCAAGAGCAUCCCUUAAUUAAUUAAGAGAUUAGCUCAAGUGCAUCACUUAUACUACAAAUUCCAUUUCAGAUUAAUUGUUUGUAUUAAAAAAAAAGAGGGAAUUAAGUGGCUCCAGAUCUUUAAGUGAAGAUCUAUAAAGUAUUAUCUAAAUGUAUAUUGCACUCUCAAGCCUAUUUACACAUAAUUAUAUUGUUCCUCUGUCAUUAAUUGUGGAAAAGAAUAAUAAGAGACCCUCUUCAUAUUUUUCUUUUUCUUCACUUUCUACAUUUGAUAUAAUUGUGUGUGUAUAUAUAUAUAGAUAUUUACACACAUCAGGCUUGUUGGCUUUGGUCUAUUAAUGUGUUAUAGCUAGGAAAUUAUAUUGUAAAAUGACACCAUAGGAAUUUAGUCUCAUUAUUCAAGAUAGUUGCAAAGAUUUUUUGGUACCAAGAUUAUUGUUUCUUUGUAUCUGAUUUGUAAAACAUGUUUCUCUUUUCUCGAACUAUGUUGGGUAUGAUAUUUGGGGACAAUCUUGUUCUAUAUUAUUUUUGUUUUAAUAAGUUAUAAUUUUCAUACUUUUCACGCAUAGCUGCUGUCUACUUGAUACUCUCUAUUAUUGAAUGUAAUACAAAUCCUAUCUCAUCUCCCUUUGCACCCUUCUUACCAGAAGGACAUCUCUUUUGGGUAUGAAGCAUGGAAGGGUGUUCCAUUUCUAUUGUUGCUUUAGUGUUAUUUUUAGUUAUUUAAUUAUUUUAGCCACUGGCUAUAAUCGUUCUCACUCAAGUGGAUAAUAUUGAUUAUUUAUACAAUUUAUAUUAGUUACUGGUACCCAUUUAUAGCGGUGGUUUUGUUAUGUUAAGGUAUUAUUGCCAUUAAAUGACUUUGAUUAUACCAAAUUCAGGUACAUGUGACAUUCUAUAGCUUUCAUUAGGCUAUUUUCAACUGCAAUUGUCUUUUUAUGACUAUGAUUAUACUGCAUAUAUUUUUUUUCAAGAGUGGUUAUCCUAUAUUUAGUUGCAAGAAGUCAAGAAAAAUUCUAGCUUCUGGAUACAUCUUAUGAGGUAAAUGAUUGAUUUAUCUUCUUUCUUUUUAAGUUUUAUUAAUUAUAUAACUGUUAUCUUAUUUUAUUUCCCUAUUUUGCUAUCUGCUUUCCCUUGUACUGCAUGGCUACUGGUUGUUAGUAGUGGUGGCACUACCUCAUGUUUUGUUAGGACCUUAUUGCUGUCAUUUUCUUGUUGAGCUUUAUCUGCUCUCUUUUUGUAUAUAAGAAUCAGAUUGUAAUCUUCCAAAACCUAAUUAGAAAGUGUUUUCUUCUUUUCCAAUCUCUAGUUUUUAUUUUGUAACAGAAGUAAUUCCCAUUCUCAUAUUGGAUGUGAUGCAUUAAUAUUUUGAGUUGUUAUAAUGCCCCAUAUAGUUGAGAAUUUGCUAACUGUGGCCUCUUCGAACAAACGCUGAGAAAGAAAACAAAAAUUACAUCAUUUGCUUCAAUAUAGCUCAAAAGUGGAUCUGCCUAUCAUAGUGGUUGUGUGGUUGUAACGACCCACAUUUACUAAUGAGGCUUAAGGGCCUUAAUUAGUGUGUCGGGAGGACAUAAUUGGAAUAUAUGUGAUUUAAUGAUUAAAAGCAUGUUAUAUGGCUAUUUGAAUAUUUGAGAUGCAUGACUAUGUGUAUUAAUAUGCAUGUAGGCCCUGAUUAGGUUAGAAAGGGCAUAAUUGUAAUUUUGGCCCGUUGAGGGCAUAACUGUAUAUAUAUAUGUGAUAAUUGUUGAGACCACAUUAUUAUGUGGAUAUAUUUGUGAUCUGUGAUUCGAGACGAUCUUAGUGAACAGGUUGGCGAAAAAGUCACGGCGGGGAUUUAUACCCGGCUCGGGGCAAGCCUGGGGGGUAUAAAUGGGAAUUUAGAGAAUAUAUUGGGGUCUAUUUUAAUAUAGAGGAAUAUAAUUGGUGAUUAAUUAGGUAUCAGGAAGUAAGCAGAAAAUAUUAGAGACACUCGAGGAAUUAGCGGGAAUUGGGUGAAAUGACCAAAAUACCCCUAGGUGGAUUAAAUGAGUUAGAAUUAAAGGGGAGGGUAUUGUGGUCAUUUGGGCUUAUAGAGGAUAGGCAUAACUGAGGCUUUAUGCUUAGUGGAGUUUGUAGAAAGAAAUAGAAGUCUGAAGAAAGAAAAGAAAGGAAAGAAAGAAGGGAAAGAUGAGCAAGCUAUUUCCAAGGUCGGUUUAGGCAUACUGUAAUGCCCCAAAUUUCCUAAUAAGGUUUAGGACCUUGAUUAGGAGGCCGGGAGGGCCAUAAUUGAUUUGUUAUAGUAUUUAAUGAUUAUAUGCAUGUGUUACGUGAAUUAUAUUAUUAUAUGAUGGUGGGUGCAUGCAUUGGGAGAAUCUAUUAAUUAUGAGGGUAAUUUGGCCACUGUGGGCGUAAUUGUAUAUUUUGGGUGCAUGAUUGUGAUUAAUUAAUGUAGCCACAUUAUAAGGUGGAUUGGUUCGAGCUAUUCGGCAUGAGACGAUCAUGAGAUGUAAGUGUUCGGUCUAGUCAUAACGGGUUUAAGUUCGGGGCUCGGGGUGAGUCUUGGGUCAUUUUGAUGACUAGAGCAUUACCGGGAAUUAAAGGGUAAUGGGAUAUGAUUUAUUGGUAUUUGGGAAUAUUGAAAAUAGCGGGAAUUGGAAAGCGUUAAUUAUAAUUAACGAGAUAAGCGGGAAAUGACGAUUUUACCCUUGGGAGUGUUUAGAGGGAUUUAUUUGGCCUAAGGGCAUUAUGGUCUUUUGACCUUAAGGAUUUAUAUCAGCCUAAGGGAGUUUUAGAAGGCUGUGGAAACAGAAUAAAACAGAGCCAUCCUCAUCCCUUCUUCCUUUCCCUCCCGUACAAACUCUCCUUCAUCUUUCUUUCCAAAUUUUGAGAGCCAUCUUGAGGAGUUGAGCUAGGAGAUCAAAGGUGGGAGUUAGGGAACUUGAUUCAGACAUUGGAGGGGAUUCAAAAUCGUGUUUGAGGUAAGUUUCAACCAUUAGUUUCUGGUUUAUACUCUAUUUCAGUUUAAGAUUUCAGCUUGUAAAUUCUUGGUGGUUAAUUGGAAUUAAUGGGAGUUAGGUUGAUGUUUGAUUUGGGUUUUGAUGAGGGUUUGAUAUAGAUGUUGUUUACAGGUUGAAUUGAGUGUUUGGAGAAGGUUUGGAACUAGUUUGGAGGCUUGGUUCUAAGGGAAUAUGCAGGGGAGGUCGAGCUGGUGCGUUGCUGAUUUUUGGCUGAUCUGGGUAAUGAGCCGCGGCCUGGCUUUAGUGUGCCGCGGCCUAAGGUGGCUUCUGAGGCAAAUAUGCCUCUGUCAGGGAGAUGAGCCGCGGCAUGGCUGUGGUGAGCCGCGGCCCAUCAGGGCAUUUUUGGCUAAAAUUGUGUUUUUAGCUUAGGGAUGCUUACCAUAGGCCUCGGGGUUGAUCUUACUACUUGGUUAAGUGUGGAUUGAUGUCUUGGAGGCUAGAUUUUGGUCCGGGAACUUAUGUUGAUCAUUUUUAUUGAUGAUACCUUAUAUUUGGUUAUGACUAGGUGACCGCUAAAGGACUAAAAGUUGAUCGUUCUCAAGGAUCGUUCAUUAAAUCAUUCUAGCUCGAAUCUGAGGUAAGAAAACUGCACCCUGUGUAUAUGUGACAUGCAUGGCUAUUAUGAUGCAUGUUGGUUGAUUAUUGAGUAUGACAUGCGUGGUUAUUAUUGAUGCAUGUCGGUUGAUUAUUAUGUAUGACAUGCAUGGCUAUUCUUGAUGCAUGUCGGUUGAUUAUUAUGUAUGACAUGCAUGGCUAUUCUUGAUGCAUGUUGGUUGACUAUUAAACGUGACAUGCAUGGCUGUUAUUGGUGCAUGUUGGAUUGCUGGAUAUAUUGCAUAUGAUGCAUGAGAAAUAUGUGAUUAGGACAUGCUUUGUAUACUGGGUAUGAUAUUGUUCAGAGCUUGAGCCUCUGUGGUUGUACAUGGUCCUAAUUGUACUGGUAUCUGUUUAGUAAGCAUGCUAAGUACCUUGUUUAUGGAUAUUGAACAUGUGGUAUAUGAUUGGUGGCAUGACUUACUUGUGUAUGGCACUGACUAGUCAGAGACCGACUCUAAAGUCGAGAAUCAUGCAUUGAAUGACUCUAUGGCAUUAAUGCUAGACCGACCCUAGGGUCGAAGAACUUAUAAGCGCUUGCCUGGUCUAUGACCAGAUGUUUAUAGCCAAGGUAUAUGACCCCGGUGACUGUUUGUCACAUGGCUAGGGGACGCUGUCCAUAGCACGACUCUAGAGUCGGGAGGAAGGUUAUGUUGGUGACCAUUCACCAUGCACCUGUCCUAAUCAAAUUUAUGAAAGGAUCACUUAUCAGUUAAGCCCUGGUGACCCUAUCGUCACAUGGCUAGAGGGAGCGAUGCUAAUUAUUGUGACUUUUGGCUAUUGUCACCUAUUUGCUUGGACUGAUAGUCCUGAAUGGUUAUUAUGAUCGUUGUUGAUAUUAUAUCAUGCUUUAUUGUGUUUUCUUGAUGGGCUUCGGCUCACGGGUGCUACGUGGUGCAGGUAAAGGCUCUGGAAGCUGAACCAUCCUUGAGUUGGAGAGCUUACGUGAUGAUGUGUACAUAUGCAGCUGCUCGUCCGCCACGGCCGAGGUUUAAAGUGGAACUAUGGUUAAACCUUGUUUUGCCACUUAGAACGGCCUGUUGUAAAUAUUUUAUGUAAUAGACUCUGAAAUUAUAUUUUUGGGAUCCCAAUGUAUAUAUUAAACGUUCUAUCUUAUCCAAAAUGUUUAAUCCCUAAAUCGCUAAUCAUACUUAGUUACACGUUUUUGGCCAAAUGACUCGGUUAGCGAGUUUAACACUGUUUACAAGGCACACCGUAACGGUCCCUGGAGUGGGGGCGUUACACAUACCUCCAUCAAUUCUUGAGGUAUUUUGGAGCAGAAACCCAAGGGAAGCUAGAGUAAGCUUGAGGCAAGAGUUCUUGGUCUGGCUUGAAGAAUUAGCAAGGGUUUAGCAAGAACAAGCCAUUCAGUUGAGGGAAUUCAAGCCAGGGGUUUGAGGAGGAGUAAUCCAAGGAGGUGUAGAGGCUGGCUUAAGGUCGAAUCCCCAUUGAAGGUGCGCGCUAGGGCUCAAGGGGGAUCGUGCUCAAGGAUCAAGUGAACAAAGCUAGCGAAUUUAAAGGUAAAGGAAAAGGCAAGUUGGACCAAUCCUGAGAUGGAGAGCUGCAGGGCUGAAUGUACAUAGUCAGCUGUUCGGUCGCCAUGGGCGAGGAGUGGAUCAGGACAAGGAUUGCUUAACUGUUUAUUUUGCCUUAGUAUGGCUAAUACUGUAUUUAAAUCUCGAAUCUUUUGUAAAUGGUUUUAGUCCUAUUAUUUUUGGGAUCCCAUGUAAACAGAAAGUGUUUGUUUAUAAGAAAUGCGACUUUUAAGACCAAAAUCUUUUAACCCUAGUUCCACUAUAGUUUCAGUAACACGUUUUGAUGAGGACACCAAGACUAAAGAUUCAAGUCAAGUUCCAGUUGGUCCAGUGACGAGGGUGCGAGCCAAGAGAUUCAAAGAAGAACUUAACAACCUAGUCCACAGAGUCCUAAAACAGGAGGAGACCGUGGUCAACACUGAAGGAGAACAAAGACUUGUACUGAUGAGGACACCAAGACUAAAGAUCCAAGUCAAGUUACAGUUGAUCCAAGUCAAGAGGGGGGGGAAUGAUGAGGACACCAGUUUAGGAGCUUGAUCAAUAUUUAGCUUCUUCUAAUGAGUCUUAUUGGAUUUUGGCAUCUUGUAUUUUUAUUUUAAUCAGUCACUUAAUCACGUUUUAUUUAGUCUUUGUUUUUAUCUUGUGAAAAGUCAAACACUUGACUUGUGUGAGUCCAAGAGUCUUUUUUUUUUUGUGAUUGUUAGGGUUUUCAUUAGGAAGACAAAUGGGCUUUUCUUUCAUGUAAUUUCGUCCAUAAGAGGGCUUGAAAACGUUUGGAAAAAUCAGAUUAUGAUGAAAUGAAAUUUGUGAGU
Humulus lupulus (European hop) is the source of this 6743-nucleotide long non-coding RNA. RefSeq lists it as uncharacterized. The transcript is spliced from 4 exons. The record is from RefSeq and is a predicted model, not a curated record. NCBI's taxonomy places the organism in Eukaryota, Viridiplantae, Streptophyta, Magnoliopsida, Rosales, Cannabaceae.